GCCGGGGUGGCGGAACGGUAGACGCCCGGGACUUAAGAUCCCGUGUCGAUUUUCGGCGUGAGGGUUCGACUCCCUCCCUCGGCA
This 84-nucleotide transfer RNA is filed under the name Candidatus Levybacteria bacterium RIFCSPHIGHO2_02_FULL_42_12. Its description in RNAcentral is "tRNA-Leu". It matches the Rfam family "tRNA". From Rfam's summary of the family: Transfer RNA (tRNA) molecules are approximately 80 nucleotides in length. Their secondary structure includes four short double-helical elements and three loops (D, anti-codon, and T loops). Lineage: Bacteria; Candidatus Levyibacteriota. The record is from RNAcentral.